This 27-nucleotide non-coding RNA is filed under the name Mus musculus (house mouse). Lineage: Eukaryota; Metazoa; Chordata; Mammalia; Rodentia; Muridae. The record is from RNAcentral.
UACCAAGUAGUCUAAAGUAUACAGCCU